CCUACGGGAGGCAGCAGUAGGGAAUCUUCCACAAUGGGCGAAAGCCUGAUGGAGCAACGCCGCGUGGGUGAAGAAGGUCUUCGGAUCGUAAAACCCUGUUGUUAGAGAAGAAAGUGCGUGAGAGUAACUGUUCACGUUUCGACGGUAUAUAACCAGAAAGCCACGGCUAACUACGUGCCAGCAGCCGCGGUAAUACGUAGGUGGCAAGCGUUAUCCGGAUUUAUUGGGCGGAAAGGGAGCGCAGGCGGUCUUUUAAGUCUGAUGGGAAAGCCUUCGGCUUAACCGGAGUAGUGCAUUGGAAACUGGGAGACUUGAGUGCAGAAGAGGAGAGUGGAAGUCCAUGUGUAGCGGUGAAAUGCGUAGAUAUAUGGAAGAACACCAGUGGCGAAAGCGGCUCUCUGGUCUGUAACUGACGCUGAGGUUCGAAAGCGUGGGUAGCAAACAGGAUUAGAUACCCCGGUAGUC
This 465-nucleotide ribosomal RNA is filed under the name uncultured bacterium. Its description in RNAcentral is "partial 16S ribosomal RNA". It matches the Rfam family "Bacterial small subunit ribosomal RNA", at positions 338 to 795 of the family's 1533-position model. The record is from RNAcentral.